GGCCUUGUAGCUCAGUUGGAUAGAGCGUUGGCUGUACCAAAACCUUCCCCUUGCUGGCGUGGGUUCGAAUCCCACCGAGGCCA
This 83-nucleotide transfer RNA is filed under the name Schistocephalus solidus. It matches the Rfam family "tRNA". Rfam says of the family: Transfer RNA (tRNA) molecules are approximately 80 nucleotides in length. Their secondary structure includes four short double-helical elements and three loops (D, anti-codon, and T loops). The record is from Rfam by way of RNAcentral. Lineage: Eukaryota; Metazoa; Platyhelminthes; Cestoda; Diphyllobothriidea; Diphyllobothriidae.